UAAGGAAUAUUGGUCAAUGGAGGGAACUCUGAACCAGCCAUGCCGCGUGCAGGAAGACGGCCCUCUGGGUUGUAAACUGCUUUUAUUCGGGAAUAAACCACAUUACGUGUAGUGUGCUGAAUGUACCGAAGGAAUAAGGACCGGCUAACUCCGUGCCAGCAGCCGCGGUAAUACGGAGGAUCCAAGCGUUAUCCGGAUUUAUUGGGUUUAAAGGGUGCGUAGGCGGCUUAAUAAGUCAGUGGUGAAAUACAGCCGCUCAACGGUUGAGGUGCCAUUGAUACUGUUAAGCUUGAAACAAGUGGAGGCUGCCGGAAUGGAUGGUGUAGCGGUGAAAUGCAUAGAUAUGUCACAGAACACCGAUUGCGAAGGCAGCUUACUAUGGUUUAAUUGACGCUGAGGCACGAAAGCGUGGGGAUCAAACA
RNAcentral lists this ribosomal RNA (422 nucleotides) under uncultured bacterium. Its description in RNAcentral is "bacterial SSU rRNA". It matches the Rfam family "Bacterial small subunit ribosomal RNA", at positions 355 to 774 of the family's 1533-position model. The record is from RNAcentral.